UACAGAGGUCUCAAGCGUUGUUCGGAAUCACUGGGCGUAAAGGGUGUGUAGGCGGUGUGCUAAGUCAGAUGUGAAAGCCCGGGGCUCAACCUCGGAACUGCAUCCGAUACUGGCAUGCUAGAGAAUUGGAGAGGAGUCUAGAAUUCACGGUGUAGCAGUGAAAUGCGUAGAUAUCGUGAGGAAUACCAAGUGCGAAGGCAGGACUCUGGACAUUUUCUGACGCUGAGACACGAAGGCCAGGGGAGCAAACGGG
RNAcentral lists this ribosomal RNA (253 nucleotides) under uncultured bacterium. RNAcentral's name for it is "partial 16S ribosomal RNA". It matches the Rfam family "Bacterial small subunit ribosomal RNA", at positions 524 to 776 of the family's 1533-position model. RNAcentral also lists the same sequence under 1 other name. The record is from RNAcentral.